RNAcentral lists this ribosomal RNA (253 nucleotides) under uncultured bacterium. RNAcentral's name for it is "partial 16S ribosomal RNA". It matches the Rfam family "Bacterial small subunit ribosomal RNA", at positions 524 to 776 of the family's 1533-position model. The record is from RNAcentral.
UACGUAGGGGGCGAGCGUUGUCCGGAGUUACUGGGCGUAAAGCGCACGCAGGCGGUCUGCUAAGUUUGGAGUGACAGUUGGUGGCUUAACUGCCAAAGUGCUUCGAAAACUGACAGACUUGAGGGCUUCAGAGGGACACGGAAUUCCGGGUGGAGUGGUGAAAUGCGUAGAUAUCGCCUGGAACGCCGAUGGUGAAAACAGUCUGCUGGGGGUGUGCCGACGCUGAGACACGAAAGCCAGGGGAGCGAACGGG